Molecule: long non-coding RNA, 1273 nt
Filed under: Homo sapiens (human)
Lineage: Eukaryota; Metazoa; Chordata; Mammalia; Primates; Hominidae
Description: long intergenic non-protein coding RNA 1500
Source: RNAcentral
GGGGCUGGUAGUAGCGCUGCCUGCAAACCAGCACCAAGGCUGCAAACGAAGCCAGAAAGAUGGUGGCCAGCACACCUAUGGCAACUAUCACCACGGUCUCCAUGCUUCCGGGGAGCUCCUGACUCAGUCCCGUUCACAUCGUCCUCAUGGGCUAAGGCUGCUGGAAGUGGCAAACUGGGGGAAGAGGAUGGCAGGAGCUAGGUUCCUCCACGACACCUCCAGAGACCUGAGGGCCUCAAGCUGCAGCUCCGGGGCACAUCCCGCUGCGCUCCCACGACGGCCCCGCGGAUGGCAAAGUCAGCGGCAUCGCCUAUGCAGGCAAUCAAAGGAUGUUGAUGGAUAAGUGUUUCAGGCAGAAUAAUGGCCCUCAAAGAUGUUGACACCAGAAUCUUCAGAACCUUUGCAUAUGUUACCUAACAUGACAAAAGGGACUUUGCUGAUGUGAUUAAGGUUAAGAACUUUGAGAAGGGAAGAUUAUCCUGGAUUAUACAGGUCGACGUUUAUUUCUUUCUGAACUUUCCUGGAGGAUCAUCGGCCAUACUCCAGCAGAAGGGUGGAUUUGAAAAAAUAACAAGGAAGACGUUGGAGAAUUCACAUGCUAUUUUAGCUGGCUCUGUGAUUGCAAUCACACAAAUCAUUACAUUCCAGCGAGAUCCCAUCAACAGAAGGUUUUUCCAUUUCAGUCUGUCAAGAAUUUGACUUGGGGAAGAAGAAGAAAAGAAGGUGGAUUUCAGCAUGAAAGAAUCUAAACAGUCAUUAGUGAACAAAUGUGUAGCAGUGCUGUCCAACAGAACUUUCUGAAGAAGUAAUGGGAAUACUCUGUAUCUGUGAUGUCCUGUAUGGUAGCCACUGGCCUCACACAGCUCUUGAGCACUUGAAAUGUGGCUACUGUGACUGAGUAAUUGAGUUUUAAAAUUUCAUCAAUUUUAAUUAAUUGAAAUUUAAAUAGCCACAUGAGGCCAGUGACUACAGAAUUGAACAGCACAGGUCUCACAGAUGGACUAAGAGUAAGCCAGUUACGAAGAAGCUUAUACAGGAAGACCGGCUAAAAUAUGUCAAAGGAGAGUUUCUCUUUCUGAACUCCGAGGAGCUGUUCAAAUAAGACUGGUCUGGAGAGAGUUUUGGGUGGCUGGAGGUAUUUUCACCCCUCCACUUACUGUGCCUAACCUUAGUAUUGUUGCCAUUCUCACGUUUCUGUAUGACUCCAUCUCCCUUGUUCUGUUCCGAUGCCGCUUUUUCAGUUUUUCUGAGCUCUCAAUUAAACACAGUGAAA